CAAAACGACUGCUAAGACUGGAUAGGAGACAAGAAGGCAUCUUCUUGUUUUUAAAAGACCUAGCAAUAGGUAUGCUUAGGGAGGAGCUUGCGUCACAUUAGUUAGUUGGUGGGGUAAAGGCCUACCAAGACUAUGAUGUGUAGCCGGGCUGAGAGGUUGAACGGCCACAUUGGGACUGAGACACGGCCCAAACUCCUACGGGAGGCAGCAGUAGGGAAUUUUCGGCAAUGGAGGAAACUCUGACCGAGCAACGCCGCGUGAACGAUGAAGUAUUUCGGUACGUAAAGUUCUUUUAUUAGGGAAGAAUAAAUGAUGGAAAAAUCAUUCUGACGGUACCUAAUGAAUAAGCCCCGGCUAACUAUGUGCCAGCAGCCGCGGUAAUACAUAGGGGGCAAGCGUUAUCCGGAAUUAUUGGGCGUAAAGGGUGCGUAGGCGGUUAAAUAAGUUUAUGGUCUAAGUGCAAUGCUCAACAUUGUGAUGCUAUAAAAACUGUUUAGCUAGAGUAAGAUAGAGGCAAGUGGAAUUCCAUGUGUAGUGGUAAAAUGCGUAAAUAUAUGGAGGAACACCAGUAGCGAAGGCGGCUUGCUGGGUCUUUACUGACGCUGAGGCACGAAAGCGUGGGGAGCAAACAGGAUUAGAUACCCUGGUAGUCCACGCCGUAAACGAUGAGUACUAAACGUUGGGUAAAACCAGUGUUGAAGUUAACACAUUAAGUACUCCGCCUGAGUAGUACGUACGCAAGUAUGAAACUUAAAGGAAUUGACGGGACUCCGCACAAGCGGUGGAUCAUGUUGUUUAAUUCGAAGGUACCCGAAAAACCUCACCAGGUCUUGACAUGCUUCUGCAAAACUGUAGAAACACAGUGGAGGUUAUCAGUUGCACAGGUGGUGCAUGGUUGUCGUCAGCUCGUGUCGUGAGAUGUUGGGUUAAGUCCCGCAACGAGCGCAACCCUUAUUGUUAGUUACCAGCACGUAAUGGUGGGGACUUUAGCAAGACUGCCGGUGAUAAAUUGGAGGAAGGUGGGGACGACGUCAAAUCAUCAUGCCCCUUAUGACCUGGGCUACAAACGUGAUACAAUGGCUGUUACAAAGGGUAGCUGAAACGCAAGUUUUUGGCGAAUCUCAAAAAAACAGUCUCAGUUCGGAUUGAAGUCUGCAACUCGACUUCAUGAAGUUGGAAUCGCUAGUAAUCGCGAAUCAGCAUGUCGCGGUGAAUACGUUCUCGGGGUUUGUACACACCGCCCGUC
This 1246-nucleotide ribosomal RNA is filed under the name 'Vaccinium corymbosum' phytoplasma. Its description in RNAcentral is "bacterial SSU rRNA". It matches the Rfam family "Bacterial small subunit ribosomal RNA", at positions 152 to 1398 of the family's 1533-position model. The record is from RNAcentral. Lineage: Bacteria; Bacillati; Mycoplasmatota; Mollicutes; Acholeplasmatales; Acholeplasmataceae.